This 1318-nucleotide long non-coding RNA is filed under the name Ailuropoda melanoleuca (giant panda). RNAcentral's name for it is "lncRNA (ENSAMEG00000029224.1)". The record is from RNAcentral. Lineage: Eukaryota; Metazoa; Chordata; Mammalia; Carnivora; Ursidae.
AAAUCUCAAUCCUCUCUUACUAUAUUUCACUUUAUAGAAACCCUGGGUGAUUGUAUGCCAUAGAAGUAUCAAAAAUGGCCUCUAUUAAAAGCACUAGGGGUAGGAAGAUAUACUGGAAGAAAGUGGUCCUGGAUGUUGGCUUGUUUCCAAAAGCAAGGGAUCUGGCCAUGGAUGAAUUCAGUGAGAUGGUGGUUGGGAUCCCACGUCGCUUGUUGCACGGGGCAACCUCACCGGAGAUAACCGCCCCAUGGUGGAUAAAGAAGACUGUCAUACGGACCAGAGAGAGAACUAAAACCGAAGAAAGGAUCUCUAUGAAGACAUGCUGUGGGGACGCGGAUUGGAAGUUGCAGCAAACGGGACAAGAGACAAAGUGCGCGUGGCCAGGAAACUUGGUGGUGCCAGAGAAAGACAUUACUUCGGAAACUAAGUUAAAAAAAAAAAAAAGAAAAAGGAACUCAUGAAGAUGAGGAAGAAUUCACUGAUUUUUGUCAGAGGAAGAAAGACCUGAUUUCUUUUUUUUUUUUUUUUUUUUUUUUUUUUUUAAAGAUUUUAUUUAUUUAUUCGACAGAGAUAGAGACAGCCAGCAAGAGAGGGAACACAAGCAGGGGGAGUGGGAGAGGAAGAAGCAGGCUCAUAGCAGAAGAGCCUGAUGUGGGGCUCGAUCCCAGAACGCCGGGAUCACGCCCUGAGCUGAAGGCAGACACUUAACCGCUGUGCCACCCAGGCGCCCCAAGACCUGAUUUCUGAAGACAGCCUAUAUCCUGAACGGUUUCCUGGAAAUGACACCACUGGUUAACUUUUAUAGAGCAUUCCAAGUGUUAAACAGCAAGUUCUGAUGCUUCCAACUGCCCAAAGAGGAUCUUCCAAGCCAGUGAACAUGGAAUCCCCUGAGAACCUGAGGAGCUCUAAAUACGUAGACAAAGUUUCGUUUCUAGACUUGAAUAAUGGAAGAUCAGACCUAGACAACUGGAACUGGGUUUUUAAAACACUCCUGCCUGGGAUGCCCAACAUGACUGCACGGAGACAGCCAAAUGUCUCUCUUACGACUAAAGCCUCUGAAUUGAAACCUGGCAGCAAGGGUUCCUGGGGGUCUCAUCUGGUGCUGAAGAUGAUCGGCUCCUCCAGUCAAGGAGGAAGGAAUCCCCUCGACCCAGCACCCAGACAAACCUGUGUGAAGAGACAGAGCCCGAGAUCCAUCCUGUCCUCACACACAAUCAAGGUGUGUGCUGGAAACGGUGAGACUGAAUUUUCUAGACUUGCUCUGUUUGCUGAAAACCGAAAGAGGCCAGGAAAUUGCUUCAUGUACGUGAAGGUAUGA